This 211-nucleotide ribosomal RNA is filed under the name uncultured Rhodoferax sp. RNAcentral's name for it is "partial 16S ribosomal RNA". It matches the Rfam family "Bacterial small subunit ribosomal RNA", at positions 1174 to 1382 of the family's 1533-position model. Lineage: Bacteria; Pseudomonadati; Pseudomonadota; Betaproteobacteria; Burkholderiales; Comamonadaceae. The record is from RNAcentral.
UGGGGACUGACGUCAAGUCCUCAUGGCCCUUAUAGGUGGGGCUACACACGUCAUACAAUGGCUGGUACAAAGGGUUGCCAACCCGCGAGGGGGAGCUAAUCCCAUAAAGCCAGUCGUAGUCCGGAUCGUAGUCUGCAACUCGACUACGUGAAGUCGGAAUCGCUAGUAAUCGUGGAUCAGAAUGUCACGGUGAAUACCGUUCCCGGGUCUU